GUGAGGAAUAUUGGGCAAUGGGCGAAAGCCUGACCCAGCAACGCCGCGUGAGGGAUGAAGGCCUUCGGGUUGUAAACCUCUUUUCUGGGAGAAGAGACAAGGACGGUAUCCCAGGAAUAAGUCUCGGCUAACUACGUGCCAGCAGCCGCGGUAAUACGUAGGAGGCUAGCGUUAUCCGGAUUCACUGGGCGUAAAGCGCACGCAGGCGGUCAUGUAAGUCAGACGUGAAAGCUCCUGGCUCAACUGGGAGAGGUCGUUUGAUACUGCAUGGCUUGAGGUUGGGAGAGGGAAGCGGAAUUCCCGGUGUAGUGGUGGAAUGCGUAGAUAUCGGGAGGAACACCAGUGGCGAAAGCGGCUUCCUGGCCCAUACCUGACGCUCAGGUGCGAAAGCGUGGGGAGCGAACGGGAUUAGAAACCCUUGUAGUCC
This 427-nucleotide ribosomal RNA is filed under the name uncultured bacterium. RNAcentral describes it as "bacterial SSU rRNA". It matches the Rfam family "Bacterial small subunit ribosomal RNA", at positions 354 to 796 of the family's 1533-position model. The record is from RNAcentral.